AACUCUCAAACAAGAUAGAUUUAUUUCUAGUCUCUGUUUGGAUUUGGACUCUGCUGUGUCAAUGCGGCUAGUCUUAAAUGUAUUAGCUGGUCCAAGUGAAGGUUUGGUUCUACUCAGCAUGAUAAUUAUCUGGUGUUGAGGACAGUCUCAGGACUGGCCAGACUCUCUCUGGAUUGCUUCUAAUCGUCUUUGGACAAUUGCUCAAU
Molecule: unclassified non-coding RNA, 206 nt
Filed under: uncultured Cantharellales
Lineage: Eukaryota; Fungi; Basidiomycota; Agaricomycetes; Cantharellales
Description: sequence contains ITS2
Source: RNAcentral